Myodes glareolus (Bank vole) is the source of this 794-nucleotide non-coding RNA. NCBI's taxonomy places the organism in Eukaryota, Metazoa, Chordata, Mammalia, Rodentia, Cricetidae. The record is from RefSeq and is a predicted model, not a curated record.
CUUCAAAUUUACAGAUUCACCUGCCUGUGUCUCCUGAGUGCUGUGAUUAAAGUGGUGGUUCCCCCUUGUACCCAUUUGUGGCAUCAGACAGACCUGAACAAUCUGUGGUCCAGAAAUAACCAGUCAGCAAGGAAAUUAAAUUCAGGGACUGAUCAGACCUACUGAGAAAUAAAGCCUUUUUGUCGCUGUUGGACCUGGAGUUGUGACACUGUAAGUCAAAAACCAUACAUAGAAAGUGUCAGCCUGCAACUAAAGCCAUGCUGAAGAAAAGAUUGCCCAAGCUAUGAGAGAUAACUUCUGGUGGCAUCCGCUGAAACAUGGACCUAUGCUUGUCUCUAAGAAUCAUCAGCCUUCCAGUUAUGUGAGACAAUGGACUGCUUUUGGGGCUCAAAUGGUUUGCAUUAGAUUUAUAUCAAUUAUAAUGGAAGCAAAUCUGAGUAAUUUAACAAAUAUGAUUAUAAAACCUAGCAAAAAUUAAAGCCAUGUAAUUUAUCAAAAUCUUUUUCUCCCCAGAUGGAUUCAGUGUAUAACAGCAUCUAAUAAGCAAAAGGUGAAGAAAAAAGGAUUAAGUAUCUGUCACUAUGGCAAACUGGUAGGAGUAGGCAUCAUACAGUAUGACUAGGUGGCCUUCACACACCAGCCAGCCUUUGGUGGUAUCAUUUUUUCCAUCUGUGAUGUGAAGAGGUCUAGCCUUCCAUUAUUACACCACCUAACAAGCAAGAAGCCGUGUGUCCCCAGUCCUGGCAUAAGUAACUGUGAUAGUUAACUGGAUUGGAUUAAAAAUGUUUAUGAGA